CCUCCUUUAGAGUUUGAUCCUGGCUCAGAUUGAACGCUGGCGGCAGGCCUAACACAUGCAAGUCGAACGGUAACAUUUCUAGCUUGCUAGAAGAUGACGAGUGGCGGACGGGUGAGUAAUGCUUGGGAACUUGCCUUUGCGAGGGGGAUAACAGUUGGAAACGACUGCUAAUACCGCAUAAUGUCUUCGGACCAAACGGGGCUUCGGCUCCGGCGCAAAGAGAGGCCCAAGUGAGAUUAGCUAGUUGGUAAGGUAACGGCUUACCAAGGCGACGAUCUCUAGCUGUUCUGAGAGGAAGAUCAGCCACACUGGGACUGAGACACGGCCCAGACUCCUACGGGAGGCAGCAGUGGGGAAUAUUGCACAAUGGGGGAAACCCUGAUGCAGCCAUGCCGCGUGUGUGAAGAAGGCCUUCGGGUUGUAAAGCACUUUCAGUUGUGAGGAAAAGUUAGUAGUUAAUACCCUGCUAGCCGUGACGUAAC
Molecule: ribosomal RNA, 482 nt
Filed under: Alteromonas sp. C8
Lineage: Bacteria; Pseudomonadati; Pseudomonadota; Gammaproteobacteria; Alteromonadales; Alteromonadaceae
Description: bacterial SSU rRNA
Rfam family: Bacterial small subunit ribosomal RNA
Source: RNAcentral